This 510-nucleotide ribosomal RNA is filed under the name uncultured bacterium. Its description in RNAcentral is "partial 16S ribosomal RNA". It matches the Rfam family "Bacterial small subunit ribosomal RNA", at positions 28 to 507 of the family's 1533-position model. The record is from RNAcentral.
GACGAACGCUGGCGGCGUGCUUAACACAUGCAAGUCGAACGAAGAGCGAUGGAAGCUUGCUUCUAUCAAUCUUAGUGGCGAACGGGUGAGUAACGCGUAAUCAACCUGCCCUUCAGAGGGGGACAACAGUUGGAAACGACUGCUAAUACCGCAUACGAUCUAAUCUCGGCAUCGAGGAUAGAUGAAAGGUGGCCUCUACAUGUAAGCUAUCACUGAAGGUGGGGAUUGCGUCUGAUUAGCUAGUUGGUGGGGUAACGGCCCACCAAGGCGAUGAUCAGUAGCCGGUCUGAGAGGAUGAACGGCCCCAUUGGGACUGGGACACGGCCCAGACUCCUACGGGAGGCAGCAGUGGGGAAUCUUCCGCAAUGGACGAAAGUCCGGCGGAGCAACGCCGCGUGAGUGAUGACGGCCUUCGGGUUGGAAAGCUCUGUUAAUCGGGACGAAAGGCCUUCUUGCGAACAGUUAGAAGGAUUGACGGUACCGGAAUAGAAAGCCACGGCUAACUACGUG